RNAcentral lists this ribosomal RNA (473 nucleotides) under uncultured bacterium. Its description in RNAcentral is "partial 16S ribosomal RNA". It matches the Rfam family "Bacterial small subunit ribosomal RNA", at positions 28 to 523 of the family's 1533-position model. The record is from RNAcentral.
GACGAACGCUGGCGGCGUGCUUAACACAUGCAAGUUGAACGGGGCAUAUUUGAAGGGUAACCGGAGGGUAUGUCUAGUGGCGAACGGGCGAGUAAUGCAUGAGAACGUAUCCUCAAGAGGGGGACAACAUUGGGAAACCGAUGCUAAUACCCCAUAAGCCGGGAGGUAAAAGGAGCAAUCCGCUUGAGGAGCGGUUCAUGUCCUAUCAGCUAGUUGGUGAGGUAACGGCUCACCAAGGCGAAGACGGGUAGCCGGCCUGAGAGGGUGAACGGCCACACUGGAACUGAGAGACGGUCCAGACUCCUACGGGAGGCAGCAGUGGGGAAUAUUGGGCAAUGGGGGAAACCCUGACCCAGCGACGCCGCGUGAGGGAAGAAGGCCUUAGGGUCGUAAACCUCUGUUGUGUGGGAAGAAGAGCGUGACGGUACCACACGAGGAAGUCCCGGCUAACUACGUGCCAGCCGCCGCGGUAA